UCCUCUCUCCUUUUCUUUUCACAUUGUAUACAUCUGACUUCACCUACAGGACUCCAACAUGUCAUAUGCAGAAAUAUUCUGAUGACACAGCUGUGGUGGCCUGUGUGAGGGGAGGGGACGAGACAGAGUACAGGGCAGUUAUCAAGGACUUUGUCUGCUCCAA
Thalassophryne amazonica is the source of this 163-nucleotide long non-coding RNA. RefSeq lists it as uncharacterized. Lineage: Eukaryota; Metazoa; Chordata; Actinopteri; Batrachoidiformes; Batrachoididae. The transcript has 3 exons. The record is from RefSeq and is a predicted model, not a curated record.